UACGUAGGGGGCAAGCGUUGUCCGGAAUCAUUGGGCGUAAAGCGCGCGUAGGCGGCCCUGUAAGUCCGUUGUGAAAGUCAAAGGCUCAACCUUUGAAAGCCGAUGGAUACUGCAGGGCUAGAGUCCGGAAGAGGCGAGUGGAACUCCUGGUGUAGCGGUGGAAUGCGCAGAUAUCAGGAAGAACACCAACGGCGAAGGCAGCUCGCUGGGACGGAACUGACGCUAAGGCGCGAAAGCGUGGGGAGCGAACAGG
This 253-nucleotide ribosomal RNA is filed under the name uncultured bacterium. RNAcentral describes it as "partial 16S ribosomal RNA". It matches the Rfam family "Bacterial small subunit ribosomal RNA", at positions 524 to 776 of the family's 1533-position model. The record is from RNAcentral.